This 31-nucleotide non-coding RNA is filed under the name Rattus norvegicus (Norway rat). Lineage: Eukaryota; Metazoa; Chordata; Mammalia; Rodentia; Muridae. The record is from RNAcentral.
UGUGAACUUAUACAGUGCCCAUAGCCAUAGA